RNAcentral lists this ribosomal RNA (253 nucleotides) under uncultured bacterium. RNAcentral's name for it is "partial 16S ribosomal RNA". It matches the Rfam family "Bacterial small subunit ribosomal RNA", at positions 524 to 776 of the family's 1533-position model. The record is from RNAcentral.
UACGAAGGUGGCAAGCGUUGUUCGGAUUUACUGGGCGUACAGGGCGCGUAGGCGGUUGGGUAAGCCCUCCGUGAAAUCUCCGGGCCUAACCCGGAAAGGGCGGAGGGGACUGCUCGGCUAGAGGAUGGGAGAGGAGCGCGGAAUUCCCGGUGUAGCGGUGAAAUGCGUAGAUAUCUGGAGGAACACCGGUGGCGAAGGCGGCAUCCUGGACCGACACUGACGCUGAGGCGCGAAAGCCAGGGGAGCAAACGGG